This 380-nucleotide ribosomal RNA is filed under the name uncultured eukaryote. RNAcentral describes it as "partial 18S ribosomal RNA". It matches the Rfam family "Eukaryotic small subunit ribosomal RNA", at positions 592 to 976 of the family's 1831-position model. The record is from RNAcentral.
CAAUAGCGUAUAUUAAAGUUGUUGCAGUUAAAACGCUCGUAGUCGGAUUUCGGGGCCUGCCUGCCGGUCUGCCGAUGGGUAUGCACUGGCAGGCGCGUCCUUCCUUCCGGAGACUGUCCCUACUCUUAACUGAGCGGGGUCGGGAGACGGAUCGUUUACUUUGAAAAAAUCAGAGUGUUUCAAGCAGGCAGCUCGCUCUUGCAUGGAUUAGCAUGGGAUAAUGAAAUAGGACUUUGGUGCUAUUUUGUUGGUUUCGAACACCGAAGUAAUGAUUAACAGGGACAGUCAGGGGCACUCGUAUUCCGCCGAGAGAGGUGAAAUUCUCAGACCAGCGGAAGACGAACCACUGCGAAAGCAUUUGCCAGGGAUGUUUNCACUGA